CAGCCGCCACGGGAAUACAGAGGGUGCAAGCGUUAAUCGGAAUUACUGGGCGUAAAGCGCGCGUAGGUGGUUCGCCAAGUUGGAUGUGAAAUCCCCGGGCUCAACCUGGGAACUGCAUCCAAAACUGGCGAGCUAGAGUAUGGUAGAGGGUGGUGGAAUUUCCUGUGUAGCGGUGAAAUGCGUAGAUAUAGGAAGGAACAUCAGUGGCGAAGGCGACCACCUGGACUGAUACUGACACUGAGGUGCGAAAGCGUGGGGAGCAAACAGGAUUAGAUACCCGCGUAGUCCCUGUCUCUUAUAC
This 301-nucleotide ribosomal RNA is filed under the name uncultured bacterium. RNAcentral's name for it is "partial 16S ribosomal RNA". It matches the Rfam family "Bacterial small subunit ribosomal RNA", at positions 509 to 807 of the family's 1533-position model. The record is from RNAcentral.